CUGGUUGAUCCUGCCAGUAGUCAUACGCUUGUCUCAAAGAUUAAGCCAUGCAUGUCUAAGUAUAAGUAUUAUACAGCGAAACUGCGAAUGGCUCAUUAAAACAGUUAUGGUUUAUUUGAUAAUCGAAUUUUACAUGGAUAACCGUGGUAAUUCUAGAGCUAAUACAUGCCGGUGUGCCUGACUUUUCGGAAGGGCGGUAUUUAUUAGAUAACGAACCAAUAUUCCUCUGGUCUAUUGUGGUGAAUCAUAAUAACUGAUCGAAUCGCAAAGCCUUUGGCUGCGAUAUGUCAUUCAAGUUUCUGCCCCAUCAGCUUUCGAUGGUAGUGUAUUGGACUACCAUGGCUUUUACGGGUAACGGAGAAUUAGGGUUCGAUUCCGGAGAGGGAGCCUGAGAAACGGCUACCACAUCUAAGGAAGGCAGCAGGCGCGUAAAUUACCCAAUCCUGACUCAGGGAGGUAGUGACAAGAAAUAACGGACCGGCCUUUUAGGCUCGGGAUUGCAAUGAGCCGAAUUUACACCCCUUAGCGAGGACCCAUUGGAGGGCAAGUCUGGU
Molecule: ribosomal RNA, 554 nt
Filed under: uncultured ciliate
Lineage: Eukaryota; Ciliophora
Description: SSU rRNA
Rfam family: Eukaryotic small subunit ribosomal RNA
Source: RNAcentral